AGUGGCGGACGGGUGAGUAACGCGUGAGAAUCUGCCUUGGGGUCGGGGUCAACCACUGGAAACGGUGGCUAAUACCGGAUAAGCCGAUUGGUGAAAGAUUUAUUGCCCGAAGAGGAGCUCGCGUCUGAUUAGCUAGUUGGUGAGGUAAGAGCUCACCAAGGCAGCGAUCAGUAGCUGGUCUGAGAGGACGAUCAGCCACACUGGGACUGAGACACGGCCCAGACUCCUACGGGAGGCAGCAGUGGGGAAUUUUCCGCAAUGGGCGAAAGCCUGACGGAGCAAGACCGCGUGAGGGAGGAAGGCUCUUGGGUUGUAAACCUCUUUUCUCAGGGAAGAAGCUCUGACGGUACCUGAGGAAUCAGCCUCGGCUAACUCCGUGCCAGCAGCCGCGGUAAUACGGAGGAGGCAAGCGUUAUCCGGAAUUAUUGGGCGUAAAGCGUCCGCAGGUGGCGAUUCAAGUCUGCUGUCAAAGCACGGGGCUUAACUCCGUAAAGGCAGUGGAAACUGAAUAGCUAGAGUGCCGUAGGGGUAGAGGGAAUUCCCGGUGUAGCGGUGAAAUGCGUAGAGAUCGGGAAGAACAUCGGUGGCGAAAGCGCUCUACUGGACGGCAACUGACGCUCAGGGACGAAAGCUAGGGGAGCGAAUGGGAUUAGAUACCCC
Molecule: ribosomal RNA, 660 nt
Filed under: uncultured bacterium
Lineage: Bacteria
Description: bacterial SSU rRNA
Rfam family: Bacterial small subunit ribosomal RNA
Source: RNAcentral